RNAcentral lists this ribosomal RNA (427 nucleotides) under uncultured bacterium. RNAcentral describes it as "partial 16S ribosomal RNA". It matches the Rfam family "Bacterial small subunit ribosomal RNA", at positions 355 to 774 of the family's 1533-position model. The record is from RNAcentral.
UGGGGAAUAUUGCACAAUGGGCGCAAGCCUGAUGCAGCCAUGCCGCGUGUAUGAAGAAGGCCUUCGGGUUGUAAGGUACUUUCAGCGGGGAGGAAGGCGAUAAGGUUAAUAACCUUGUCGAUUGACGUUACCCGCAGAAGAAGCACCGGCUAACUCCGUGCCAGCAGCCGCGGUAAUACGGAGGGUGCAAGCGUUAAUCGGAAUUACUGGGCGUAAAGCGCACGCAGGCGGUCUGUCAAGUCGGAUGUGAAAUCCCCGGGCUCAACCUGGGAACUGCAUUCGAAACUGGCAGGCUAGAGUCUUGUAGAGGGGGGUAGAAUUCCAGGUGUAGCGGUGAAAUGCGUAGAGAUCUGGAGGAAUACCGGUGGCGAAGGCGGCCCCCUGGACAAAGACUGACGCUCAGGUGCGAAAGCGUGGGGAGCAAACA